Molecule: ribosomal RNA, 446 nt
Filed under: uncultured bacterium
Lineage: Bacteria
Description: partial 16S ribosomal RNA
Rfam family: Bacterial small subunit ribosomal RNA
Source: RNAcentral
CCUACGGGGGGCUGCAGUCGAGAAUCAUUCACAAUGGGGGAAACCCUGAUGGUGCGACGCCGCGUGGGGGAAUGAAGGUCUUCGGAUUGUAAACCCCUGUCAUGUGGGAGCAAAUUAAAAAGAUAGUACCACAAGAGGAAGAGACGGCUAACUCUGUGCCAGCAGCCGCGGUAAUACAGAGGUCUCAAGCGUUGUUCGGAAUCACUGGGCGUAAAGCGUGCGUAGGCUGUUUCGUAAGUCGUGUGUGAAAGGCGCGGGCUCAACCCGCGGACGGCACAUGAUACUGCGAGACUAGAGUAAGGGAGGGGGAACCGGAAUUCUCGGUGUAGCAGUGAAAUGCGUAGAUAUAGAGAGGAACACUCGUGGCGAAGGCGGGUUCCUGGACAUUAACUGACGCUGAGGCACGAAGGCCAGGGGAGCGAAAGGGAUUAGAUACCCCUGUAGUC